UUUCGCGGUAUGGGANGGGGUCGCGUCCUAUCAGCUUGACGGCGGGGUAACGGCCCACCGUGGCUUCGACGGGUAGCCGGCCUGAGAGGGCGACCGGCCACAUUGGGACUGAGAUACGGCCCAGACUCCUACGGGAGGCAGCAGUGGGGAAUAUUGCACAAUGGGCGCAAGCCUGAUGCAGCGACGCCGCGUGAGGGAUGGAGGCCUUCGGGUUGUAAACCUCUUUUAUCGGGGAGCAAGCGAGAGUGAGUUUACCCGUUGAAUAAGCACCGGCUAACUACGUGCCAGCAGCCGCGGUAAUACGUAGGGUGCAAGCGUUAUCCGGAAUUAUUGGGCGUAAAGGGCUCGUAGGCGGUUCGUCGCGUCCGGUGUGAAAGUCCAUCGCUUAACGGUGGAUCCGCGCCGGGUACGGGCGGGCUUGAGUGCGGUAGGGGAGACUGGAAUUCC
This 447-nucleotide ribosomal RNA is filed under the name Bifidobacterium longum. RNAcentral's name for it is "bacterial SSU rRNA". It matches the Rfam family "Bacterial small subunit ribosomal RNA", at positions 211 to 670 of the family's 1533-position model. The record is from RNAcentral. Lineage: Bacteria; Bacillati; Actinomycetota; Actinomycetes; Bifidobacteriales; Bifidobacteriaceae.